UCUCUCCUCAUGCGUGAGGAGAAAAAUCCUGCUCGCUCCCACACGAGGAGAAGUGGCUUUUUGGCAGUGGGUAGGGGAACCAGUUGGUAUCAUAUUGCUACACAUGAUUGUGGAAGGUCCCUGUCCUGUGAUUGGCCAUCAGAAGAGGAAGAACAAUGUUCCAAGGUUAUUGGAACGCAGCACAAGCAGUGAUAGUGGGAAAGCCAGAAUAGCUUCAUGAAACACCAUCAGGAGACACAGUUACAAAACGCUGCCAGGCGGGUGGUUGCCUUUUUACAGAGUGCCCUGGCUAAUGAAGCUGAACCAUCUUCGCAACACCAAUUACUACUCAUUUUGGCACCGUGGGUAGAUGCCAAGUCCUGCUGGAAAAGGACACCAGUGUCGCCAUGACGUUUGUCAACAGAUAGAAGUAUAAGUCUCUGCCUCCCCACCCAUCCAAACAUAGAUCAUGACACAAGACAAGGGGGGGACGGGUCACCGAGGCUUUGCUGCCCACUCACAGGCGCUGCCCUUGCUAGACGAGAAACGAGGCCACAUUAGAGACUGGACGCAGGCUUGUUGACACACAUUGCUGACGGGGAAGUUGGGCUAAUUUCCUGUGUGUGUGCCCUUGUUGCUUCGAUGUUGGAAGCUGUGCCUUGUGCUGUUUGGUCUUUUGCAUAUGAAGGAUGUUCAGUAACAACCUCCUCACUGACAAACUCCUUCUGAAAUCAGUCUAAGCCGCAAUCCACCAUUGGUCACCUGUCUGUCUGCCCUCUGAACUUGCCUGCUUCACUGGAAGUGCUCUCACGGAUCAAUUACCGAUAGCUUGCCACCAGACACGUCAACCUGCUGGUCUCAACCUAUUUUUUAAGGACUCUGGAUUCUUGUUUUGUUCUGCUGGCAGCCAGAUCUGACGUUGUCCUCACAGCUUCAAGCAAACCCUGUCCACCCUCCACCAUAACUCUCAGGACUCACCUGCUACGGCAGUGUUGCAUAGCCCGCCGCUCACCAGGAUCACAACCUCUCUCCCUGGCAGACUUAACCCUACCCAUUUCUCUCUGCUACUUCUGUUUCAUGCACCUAAGCCUGAAAAUAAAGUUUUCUUAAACGUUUCUCUGUUUAAUCGUGUUUUUCUGCAUGUGGGUCAAGUUGGCCUUAAACAAUAUGACAUUUUCUGUGGAACUUCUAAAGAUGGCCAUGGAUUUCUGGCCAACCAAUCCAGCAUAUCCGCCAUUUUUUCUCUCUCACAGUAUUCUUGUAGUUCAAGUUGAAGGAUGUCGAAGGAGCCAGCGGAAAAAUCUAAACGUCCUGUUGUCGGGUGUUAACCCACACCAGUCAUUACACCGUCCCCAAGGACCAGAACCUCUUCAGAGUGCCUGGUUAAAUUUUAUUCUUCAUGGAAACGUGCCGACAUCAGUGGGGAAAGUCAUCUUCGUUUGCGUGAAGUACUUCAAGGAGGAGUGUUUCAGCAACCUCGGCCAGUAUAAAGGAGGAUUAGCUGAAAUACUCUGUCUGUCUGAGGGGUCAGUUCCUUCUGUCUGUGGAAAGAGCAAAGAGGUAAGCUGCAGAAACAGCAAAAUGACAGCAAGCUUGAUAGUUCAGGUGUUGAUAUAACUUACUGGCUGUUGUUUUGAUAGCACGGCUUCGUGCCUCCUGCUAAUGUUAGCGCUCUGUGCUUGCUUUUAGCUCCUUAAUGACAUCACCUAAUUGUGUGUUUUGAAAAACAACAUUAAACCAUACAUUUUGCAAUCCGUUUGGUUGCCCUUUUAGC
Girardinichthys multiradiatus is the source of this 1753-nucleotide long non-coding RNA. RefSeq lists it as uncharacterized. The transcript has 8 exons. The record is from RefSeq and is a predicted model, not a curated record. NCBI's taxonomy places the organism in Eukaryota, Metazoa, Chordata, Actinopteri, Cyprinodontiformes, Goodeidae.